This 496-nucleotide ribosomal RNA is filed under the name uncultured bacterium. RNAcentral's name for it is "partial 16S ribosomal RNA". It matches the Rfam family "Bacterial small subunit ribosomal RNA", at positions 29 to 507 of the family's 1533-position model. The record is from RNAcentral.
ACGAACGCUGGCGGCGUGCCUAAUACAUGCAAGUUGAGCGAUGAAGAUUGGUGCUUGCACCAAUUUGAAGAGCAGCGAACGGGUGAGUAACGCGUGGGGAAUCUGCCUUUGAGCGGGGGACAACAUUUGGAAACGAAUGCUAAUACCGCAUAACAACUUUAAACAUCAGUUUUAAGUUUGAAAGAUGCAAUUGCAUCACUCAAAGAUGAUCCCGCGUUGUAUUAGCUAGUUGGUGAGGUAAAGGCUCACCAAGGCGAUGAUACAUAGCCGACCUGAGAGGGUGAUCGGCCACAUUGGGACUGAGACACGGCCCAAACUCCUACGGGAGGCAGCAGUAGGGAAUCUUCGGCAAUGGACGAAAGUCUGACCGAGCAACGCCGCGUGAGUGAAGAAGGUUUUCGGAUCGUAAAACUCUGUUGGUAGAGAAGAACGUUGGUGAGAGUGGAAAGCUCAUCAAGUGACGGUAACUACCCAGAAAGGGACGGCUAACUACGUG